UACGUAGGGUGCAAGCGUUAAUCGGAAUUACUGGGCGUAAAGCGUGCGCAGGCGGUUGUGCAAGACAGAUGUGAAAUCCCCGGGCUUAACCUGGGAACUGCAUUUGUGACUGCACGGCUAGAGUGUGUCAGAGGGGGGGUAGAAUUCCACGUGUAGCAGUGAAAUGCGUAGAUAUGCGGAGGAACACCGAUGGCGAAGGCAAUCCCCCUGGGCCUGCACUGACGCUCAUGCACGAAAGCGUGGGGGAGCAAACAGG
This 256-nucleotide ribosomal RNA is filed under the name uncultured bacterium. Its description in RNAcentral is "partial 16S ribosomal RNA". It matches the Rfam family "Bacterial small subunit ribosomal RNA", at positions 524 to 776 of the family's 1533-position model. The record is from RNAcentral.